This 253-nucleotide ribosomal RNA is filed under the name uncultured bacterium. RNAcentral's name for it is "partial 16S ribosomal RNA". It matches the Rfam family "Bacterial small subunit ribosomal RNA", at positions 524 to 776 of the family's 1533-position model. The record is from RNAcentral.
UACGGAGGGUGCGAGCGUUAAUCGGAAUUACUGGGCGUAAAGCGCACGCAGGUGGCUGAGUAAGUCGAUUGUGAAAGCCCUGGGCUUAACCUGGGAAUUGCAGUCGAUACUACUCAGCUAGAGUAUGGGAGAGGGCAGUGGAAUUCCCGGUGUAGCGGUGAAAUGCGUAGAUAUCGGGAGGAACAUCAGUGGCGAAGGCGGCUGCCUGGCCCAAUACUGACACUGAGGAGCGAAAGCCAGGGGAGCAAACGGG